GCGAAGCAAGACUGCGCCGCUGCCAGUCCAGAUCUGCGGCGCCGUUGCUCUUCCGUCGCUGCAACCGUCGGCCGCCAUCUCUGUUCGCGAAGCAAGGCCGCCGCGUGAACCUGUAACCGCCGCUGUCUCCCCUCUCCUUUCUCCUCUGUUUUCAGCCCAGCCGCCGCCGAUUCCUUCUCCUCCGUCGUCUGCACUGCCGCGCGACUCUCCGGCCAUCUGUAUACGGUCUCUCCGUCGCACGUCAUCUCUUCGCAAAGCCACUGCUCGAUUUCUUUCGUGAAGAUUUGGGUUCGUUCUUCAUAGACUUAACGUGGUUAAGGAGCUUAACAAAUUUGAAGGUAAGGGAUUUUCUACUGGACUCACUUAUGAUUGUGAAUUGCAUGUCUGAAUGAUUAUCUUUGACUGAGUAAAGAUGUUGAGAUGAUACUUAUGUUUACACACGUAUGGGUGUAGAUUCGGUGCUGAAUGUACACUGUGGAUUGACUGAAAAUAUAUAUACAUAUGCAUAGGAAUUGAAGUAGACUUAAUGUGGAAUGCA
Cucumis sativus (cucumber) is the source of this 538-nucleotide long non-coding RNA. RefSeq lists it as uncharacterized. Lineage: Eukaryota; Viridiplantae; Streptophyta; Magnoliopsida; Cucurbitales; Cucurbitaceae. The record is from RefSeq and is a predicted model, not a curated record. The transcript has 2 exons.